UAAAGGGCACUCUGGUCUCAGAACCAUGGA
RNAcentral lists this non-coding RNA (30 nucleotides) under Homo sapiens (human). The record is from RNAcentral. Lineage: Eukaryota; Metazoa; Chordata; Mammalia; Primates; Hominidae.